Molecule: long non-coding RNA, 382 nt
Organism: Mytilus trossulus (common blue mussel)
Lineage: Eukaryota; Metazoa; Mollusca; Bivalvia; Mytilida; Mytilidae
Exons: 4
Source: RefSeq, a predicted model, not a curated record
CUUACUACUUCAUAGUAAUGCGCGUUAUUACUUUGCUACACUAAAGUUGAAUAUAUCAUCGAUUUAUUCUAAGAAAGAUUUUGUUUGUGCAGCAAUAACUAAAAAUAAGCCUUACCCUGUUCAUAAAAGAUAGUUGGUUGAGAGCAUACUGACUGUUAUUAGAUAACGAUGCAUACACUAAUCCUAACCUGCUUAGUCUGUUUCUGUCUGGCUACGAUCUGUCAAGCCAUUGUAGACAAUGCAGAUACAAAAAACGACAAACGUUUGAGGCGUGAAAAUAGACGUCACAACGUUUACGAUCACCGUAUUCUAAAACUUCGAAUGUGUAGAAAAUGCUGUUUUUACAGGCGGAACUGUAUGGGUUUCUGUCAACGAUUUAGUU